Molecule: long non-coding RNA, 103 nt
Organism: Octopus sinensis (East Asian common octopus)
Lineage: Eukaryota; Metazoa; Mollusca; Cephalopoda; Octopoda; Octopodidae
Exons: 3
Source: RefSeq, a predicted model, not a curated record
AGGAAAAUUUUAUCAAAGAUGUCACCCAGGAGGUGACAACUGGGAAAUUACCCGUUAGCCCGGCAGCCACACCAACCCAGAGCCCGGUGGCAACGCCGGUGAA